CCGCCUUGUCGGACCCCUGAGAAGCCCCCACCGCCUCCGUGCUCCUACUGCGGCCGCCAGCGCCGGGCCCGCAGUGAGGAGGAGAACCUCAUUUUCCUCAACACAGAUCUAAGGGGACACCGCCUCACUUUGAGACAACUUGAGGCUGCGUCAGUGCUCUUUCUCUUCAAACUUCUUUAACAUGCCUUGGCUUAGUUGUUCUGCUUGAUUUUCCAAAAGAAGAACCUUCUCUGGAUAAGGCAGAGGAUAGUGAAGGGAGGAUUUAACCUUGUACUGUUGUUAUACAAUUCAAUAUUGAAGCGAGAGAUUCUCCAGAACUUGCCCAGAAGCCAAGACGUCUGGAAAGGAUCUCAGCCUCUGUCAGCCUGCAGCUUGGGAAGAGUGAUUCACAGAGCCUGACUGUCCACUGCUGCUAAACCAUACACUGGCCUUGGCUCACACAUCUGACUGAACUGUCUCCUAUGACUAACUGCCUCUCUUUCUUCAGCCUUGCAAGUUUCCUGGGAGUCCUGGGAGUGGACUUCACAUAUAAAAGGGGACUCUGGGAGACCUAGUUCCUGGCUUCUCUUCUGGAAGUCAGGGAAGAGUAUAGGAAGGAGUGGCCACAGUGCCCAACUGACAAUUGACAAUUUCACCAAAGAUCAUCAUUGACCCUGACAAGACUCAUUUCGGUAUAUAAUAUGGGAAAAGAAACCAGACUGCAACAGGCUGAGAAUGACCCAGGGAAGAGAAAACGGAGAAAUUAACUGCAGCUGAGUUUCUGGAGGACUGCAAUUUAGUAUGUUCAAAGAAUAGUCCAAGAAGCCGCUCCGGACCCUCAGCAUUAAGACGAAGGAGGGGGCAAACAGGUGAGCAGGGGUAGCAAGGAAGGAGGGGUGACAAGAGGAGAUGAGGGGAGACCAGAGAGUGAAGGAAAAGAAAGCAACAACACGGCUUAACAGGGGUCCUCAACUUUAAUGUACCCCUAGGAUUCUUGUUGAAAAUGCAUAUUUCUGGGUUUCACUCCCAGAUUCUGAUUUGGAAGGCCAAGAGUGGAGGGGAGGCCAUGAAUCUGCAUUUUCACCAAGCAUCCAGGUAAAGGCACACAGACGGUCAGGAGCCACACCUGGACAAACACUGGAAUGACAGUAGAACAGAGGCCUGUAAAGAUUAAUUUUUUCUCUCACUUGUUAGAGCCACUAGAAUCACCACUGUAUUUUAACUAAAACUGGGCAGGAAAGGUCAGGCAAAUGGAUAACCAGAGGUGAUGAAAAAUGCACUACAGAUGCCUCUCCAGCCCCUCCACCUGCAUAGGCUGUCCAGGAAGCCGAUGACGAUGACCACUCCUAGCUUGCAGAGGGCAGAAGGCCUCUGAAAAGGGAAGGCUGUGGCAACCCCUGCCCUUGGACCCAGCACAGCAUUUGAUCUCAUUCUCUUUGGUUAAGCACAGGGAUGAGAACCAUGAAUGACAGUGAAAUAACCACCCCCAUUCCAAAACAAACAAAACCGACCUUGGCAACCUUAAGACUACCCGGGGAAGGGGGCAUGGGUGAUCGUGUAGGCUUUGUGUUGAAAAUAGCCUGCUUUUGGAGCUGGGCGCAGUGGCUCACGCCUGUAAUCCCAGUACUUUGGGAGGACAAGGAAGGCAGAUCACCUGAGGUCAG
RNAcentral lists this long non-coding RNA (1643 nucleotides) under Homo sapiens (human). RNAcentral's name for it is "HSALNT0340552". The record is from RNAcentral. Lineage: Eukaryota; Metazoa; Chordata; Mammalia; Primates; Hominidae.